UUUUCCCUACUCCACCCAUCCC
Molecule: microRNA, 22 nt
Filed under: Populus trichocarpa (black cottonwood)
Lineage: Eukaryota; Viridiplantae; Streptophyta; Magnoliopsida; Malpighiales; Salicaceae
Also listed under: 1 other name
Description: ptc-miR472a
Gene: ptc-miR472a
Source: miRBase by way of RNAcentral